This is a long non-coding RNA of Agrilus planipennis (emerald ash borer), 759 nucleotides long. RefSeq lists it as uncharacterized. NCBI's taxonomy places the organism in Eukaryota, Metazoa, Arthropoda, Insecta, Coleoptera, Buprestidae. The transcript has 4 exons. The record is from RefSeq and is a predicted model, not a curated record.
GUUAACCUUUCAUCUUGGAGGCUCUUGUAGUUAAUUAAGGAACAUUAGAAGAACUCCGGAUACCAUUAAAUUAUGAAAUUUUGGAGCAUUGGUUGUAUUAGUCCUCUUGCCCUGGAAACUAGCUGUGCCCAUGGUUCUAAAGAAAGCAUGAAAGUGCUUUUUUUUUCAUUAGAAUGAAGACAGUGUGCUGAAAAAAGAUUUAUGACAACGAACUGAUUGUCCCACAAAUGAGAAGGAAUUGCAGUCAAUUUUGGUGCUACUAAAACAACCGAUGCUUUUGACGUCUUCACCUUGCAACAUUAUGCAGUUAUUUUUUGCCGUAACAAUGGGAGGCAAUUGGAAAUGAAUUAAUUUGGAAGCAACCAGAACAACAAAUUAUCUGCAGUGGUAUCCUUUCUAGAUUUGGUUGGUUUGCUCAUCACACUGGUAGACUUUAGAACGCCACUUUCUACAAUUAAUUAUGGUUAUACAAUAAAUGAGAGAAUUAAUGUGCAGUUUGGUUAUACUGAAACAGCCCAAGUCUACAAGGGUGUGGUCUUUCCUGGAUUAUAUUCUUGAUUUGCUGUUUCGUCUUCGCCUUGUAACAUCAUGCAGUUAAUUUUCAACCCAUGAGCGAGAGCAACUGGAUAUUUAUUUGAAUUCCACCGAAAUAAGAAAUUCUCUGCUACAGUAUCCUUUCUGGAGUUGGUUUACUUUUCGCACCUGUACACUUUGGAAUGUUACGUGCUAUAAUUAAUUAAGGUGAGAAUACUUGAUAUA